This 581-nucleotide ribosomal RNA is filed under the name Haemophilus influenzae. RNAcentral describes it as "bacterial SSU rRNA". It matches the Rfam family "Bacterial small subunit ribosomal RNA", at positions 1 to 568 of the family's 1533-position model. Lineage: Bacteria; Pseudomonadati; Pseudomonadota; Gammaproteobacteria; Pasteurellales; Pasteurellaceae. The record is from RNAcentral.
ACUUGAAUUGAAGAGUUUGAUCAUGGCUCAGAUUGAACGCUGGCGGCAGGCUUAACACAUGCAAGUCGAACGGUAGCAGGAGAAAGCUUGCUUUCUUGCUGACGAGUGGCGGACGGGUGAGUAAUGCUUGGGAAUUGGCUUAUGGAGGGGGAUAACGACGGGAAACUGUCGCUAAUACCGCGUAUUAUCGGAAGAUGAAAGUGCGGGACUGAGAGGCCGCAUGCCAUAGGAUGAGCCCAAGUGGGAUUAGGUAGUUGGUGGGGUAAAGGCCUACCAAGCCUGCGAUCUCUAGCUGGUCUGAGAGGAUGACCAGCCACACUGGAACUGAGACACGGUCCAGACUCCUACGGGAGGCAGCAGUGGGGAAUAUUGCGCAAUGGGGGGAACCCUGACGCAGCCAUGCCGCGUGAAUGAAGAAGGCCUUAGGGUUGUAAAGUUCUUUCGGUAUUGAGGAAGGUUGAUGUGUUAAUAGCACAUCAAAUUGACGUUAAAUACAGAAGAAGCACCGGCUAACUCCGUGCCAGCAGCCGCGGUAAUACGGAGGGUGCGAGCGUUAAUCGGAAUAACUGGGCGUAAAGGGC